RNAcentral lists this small RNA (296 nucleotides) under Exidia glandulosa HHB12029. RNAcentral's name for it is "5' ureB small RNA". It matches the Rfam family "5' ureB small RNA". Lineage: Eukaryota; Fungi; Basidiomycota; Agaricomycetes; Auriculariales; Exidiaceae. The record is from Rfam by way of RNAcentral.
CCUCUGUAACCUGCUGCGGACAGAUGAAGUGGCAAUGCGCGUCGACGGCGCCGGCGGUGAGUAUUAAGCCUUCGCCCGCUAGGACUUCUGUGCUUGCGCCGACGACGAGGUUGGGGUGUACGCCUUCCAUGACGUCCGGGUUGCCCGCCUUACCGAUGCCAACGAUAGUCCCACCGCGCACGCCAACGUCGGCUUUAUAGAUCCCAGAAUGGUCGACAACGAGCGCGUUGGUGAUGAGCAGGUCGAGUGUGUCGGUGCUGCUGCGUCCCGUGGCCUGGCCCAUUCCCUCGCGAAUG